UACAGAGGUCUCAAGCGUUGUUCGGAUUCAUUGGGCGUAAAGGGUGCGUAGGCGGCGCGGUAAGUCGGGUGUGAAAUCUCGGAGCUUAACUCCGAAACUGCAUUCGGUACUGCCGUGCUUGAGGACUGGAGAGGAGACUGGAAUUUACGGUGUAGCGGUGAAAUGCGUAGAUAUCGUAAGGAAGACCAGUGGCGAAGGCGGGUCUCUGGACAGUUCCUGACGCUGAGGCGCGAAGGUCAGGGGAGCAAACGGG
This 253-nucleotide ribosomal RNA is filed under the name uncultured bacterium. RNAcentral's name for it is "partial 16S ribosomal RNA". It matches the Rfam family "Bacterial small subunit ribosomal RNA", at positions 524 to 776 of the family's 1533-position model. The record is from RNAcentral.